RNAcentral lists this ribosomal RNA (298 nucleotides) under Chattonella marina var. antiqua. RNAcentral describes it as "partial 28S ribosomal RNA". It matches the Rfam family "Eukaryotic large subunit ribosomal RNA", at positions 43 to 330 of the family's 3401-position model. Lineage: Eukaryota; Raphidophyceae; Chattonellales; Chattonellaceae. The record is from RNAcentral.
UAAUUAAGCGGAGGAAAAGAAACCAACUCGGAUUCCCCUAGUAACGGCGAGUGAAGCGGGAAGAGCUCAUGUUGUAAAUCUGGAUGAGGAUUCCUCGUCCCGAAUUGUAGUCUAGAGAUGCGUGCUCAGCUACUCUCCAGGGCUAAGUCUGUUUGUGAAAGACAGCAUCAUGGACGGUGAUAAUCCGGUUCUUGCCUUGGAUGUUGUAGCGUCUUGAGCCGUCCUCAACGAGUCGAGUUGCUUGGGAUUGCAGCUCUAAGCGGGUGGUAAAUUCCAUCUAAAGCUAAAUAUUGGUGGG